UGCACAUAUCAGCAAUAUAAGCUCUCUAUCUCAGAUUCUUCAAUGAUAUCUUUGUUUGUGUUUUUUUACAGAAAAUGCUAUUGUAGCUUUCGGCUAUGGGAUAUUUAAAAUCGAUCCUCCAUUUGCUACACCAUCAGUGAACCCCGAGCCCAGCAUCGAGCCCAAAUCCACCGCCAGCCCCAACAGCACCCAAGCUACAAAUGAGGACACCGGAGAGGAGUGUGACCACUUUAAAAACUUCAACUGUGGUGGUGAUGAUAAUGCGAGAACCCAGUUCACGCUUUUGCCUGGGAACCGGAGCCCAGAGCUGAAGCUCGGCGCUGGAGCCUGGAUGCUGUGGCUGGUUUACGCAGCGGGAAGCAUCGCGGUCUGAACCUGCUGGACGCGUGCGUCUCAGAGACACAAGGACAGGCUUGACCGAUCUUCGAAAAAAAAAAAAAAAGACCAAAUUCUUUGCUCAUCUGUCUUCUCUCUACUGCUACAGCUUUAUUUCUGUCCAGAUUACAACGCAAGACAUCCAGUACGAGUGGAGGAACACCACCACCAAACGGAGAGCCGGAGAGAACGCUGAGAUACAUAUCCGAGACUAAAGCUGCAGUGCAUUGUGAGCGAGAACUAGACGGAUAUGGGUCGGACAUAGACGUUUGAAUGGAGUUGAAUGGAUAGAGUGGACGUGGAUGGAUGUUCCUCACUUUUUUGAGCUCCUGAUUCCAGUGGGAGUAAACGGACCCGUGAUUCGACCGUAAGUUUGGAAAGUUUGGAAGACGUUGGAUGACUCACAGCUGCAAGAUCGAACGUGGAGUUUUCAGGAGUCUACUGUACAGCAUCUUUUCAAAUGGAAGUUUGGUUGUACCCGUGUGACCAUUUUCACCUGCUGACCAGCUCCGGACUCCACCGACAUUUUGCUUUCCUUCUCUUUCUUUCUCUUCUUCCUUUCUUUCUUUCUUUUGCAGCCCUGACCUCCCGUUCCCCCUGAUUUAUCGGAUUGUUCGCUACGCUCUUCUCUGACAGGUGCUUCGGCUUCGUGAUUAUUCCUUUUCUCACGGCGCCUUCGCUUUCUUCGCCCCACUCUUUUAUUUUUCCCUCUCUCACCCCUUCAUCGCGGAGGAGUAAUUGCUUUUCUCGUGGUUCUUUUUUUUUUUCAGUACGAAGUGUUUGAAGUAUAAAUCUGUACCCUGUCGACAUGGUGUGAGGGCGUGUCGCUGCUGACAAGCUUUCUUAGUCCUGUUGUGUGCUUUUCUGACAGAUUUCAAAAGGGGGGAGAAAAAAAAAAUGUUAAUGAUAAAAAAAUGAAGCGUUUCUGAAAAGUACCAAUCGAUGAAGUGGAGGGCUGACACUCGUGGAAAGGGAAGUGAGUGUUCGAGUUUGAAGUGAGUUCUAAUGGGCACCCCACGAAGUACGGUAUAAUUGCAGUGUGUGAAUAUAAAAUAAAAAAAAAUAUAUAUAUGUUUUUUUUUUUUUC
Molecule: long non-coding RNA, 1462 nt
Filed under: Astyanax mexicanus (Mexican tetra)
Lineage: Eukaryota; Metazoa; Chordata; Actinopteri; Characiformes; Acestrorhamphidae
Description: lncRNA (ENSAMXG00005002742.1)
Source: RNAcentral